This 256-nucleotide ribosomal RNA is filed under the name uncultured Glomus. Its description in RNAcentral is "partial 18S ribosomal RNA". It matches the Rfam family "Eukaryotic small subunit ribosomal RNA", at positions 624 to 885 of the family's 1831-position model. Lineage: Eukaryota; Fungi; Glomeromycota; Glomeromycetes; Glomerales; Glomeraceae. The record is from RNAcentral.
AAGCUCGUAGUUGAAUUUCGGGGUUAGUAGGUUGGUCAUGCCUCUGGUAUGUACUGGUCUCACUGAUUCCUCCUUCCUGAUGAACCGUAAUGCCAUUAAUUUGGUGUUGCGGGGGAAUUUGGGCUGUUACUUUGAAAAAAUUAGAGUGUUUAAAGCAAGCUAACGCUUGAAUACAUUAGCAUGGAAUAUGAAAUAGGACGUUCGAUCCUAUUUUGUUGGUUUCUAGGAUUGACGUAAUGAUUAUAGGAUAGUUGGG